This 465-nucleotide ribosomal RNA is filed under the name Vreelandella stevensii. Its description in RNAcentral is "partial 16S ribosomal RNA". It matches the Rfam family "Bacterial small subunit ribosomal RNA", at positions 338 to 795 of the family's 1533-position model. The record is from RNAcentral. Lineage: Bacteria; Pseudomonadati; Pseudomonadota; Gammaproteobacteria; Oceanospirillales; Halomonadaceae.
CCUACGGGAGGCUGCAGUGGGGAAUAUUGGACAAUGGGGGCAACCCUGAUCCAGCCAUGCCGCGUGUGUGAAGAAGGCCCUCGGGUUGUAAAGCUCUUUCAGUGAGGAAGAACGCCUGGUGGUUAAUACCCAUCAGGAAAGACAUCACUCACAGAAGAAGCACCGGCUAACUCCGUGCCAGCAGCCGCGGUAAUACGGAGGGUGCGAGCGUUAAUCGGAAUUACUGGGCGUAAAGCGCGCGUAGGUGGCUUGAUAAGCCGGUUGUGAAAGCCCCGGGCUCAACCUGGGAACGGCAUCCGGAACUGUCAAGCUAGAGUGCAGGAGAGGAAGGUAGAAUUCCCGUGUUAGCGGUGAAAGGCGUAGAGAUCGGGAGGAAUACCAGUGGCGAAGGCGGCCUUCUGGACUGACACUGACACUGAGGUGCGAAAGCGUGGGUAGCAAACAGGAUUAGAUACCCGUGUAGUC